UACGUAGGGGGCAAGCGUUAUCCGGAUUUACUGGGUGUAAAGGGAGCGCAGACGGCAGAUCAAGUCUGAUGUGAAAUCCCGGGGCUCAACCCCGGAACUGCAUUGGAAACUGGUCAGCUGGAGUGUCGGAGAGGUAAGCGGAAUUCCUAGUGUAGCGGUGAAAUGCGUAGAUAUUAGGAGGAACACCAGCGGCGAAGGCGGCUUACUGGACGAUCACUGACGUUGAGGCUCGAAAGCGUGGGGAG
Molecule: ribosomal RNA, 245 nt
Filed under: uncultured Lachnospiraceae bacterium
Lineage: Bacteria; Bacillati; Bacillota; Clostridia; Lachnospirales; Lachnospiraceae
Description: partial 16S ribosomal RNA
Rfam family: Bacterial small subunit ribosomal RNA
Source: RNAcentral